CCUACGGGAGGCAGCAGUGGGGAAUAUUGCGCAAUGGGCGAAAGCCUGACGCAGCGACGCCGCGUGAGGGAUGAAGGUCUUCGGGUCGUAAACCUCUGUCAGCAGGGAAGAACGAUCACUGUGCUAAUCAACAGUGUAUUGACGAUACAAGUAAAGGAAGCCGCGGUCAACGCCGGGCCAGCAGCGGCGGUAAGACGGAGGAUGUGAGUGUUAAUCGGAAUUACUGGGUUUAAAGCGAUCGUAAGCGGUAUGUCAAGUUAUAGGUGAAAGCCCCGGGCUCAACGUUGGAACUGCCGUUGAAACUGGCAGACUGGAGUGUAGUAGAGGAUAGCGGAAUUCGUGGUGUAGCAGUGAAAUGCGUAGAUAUCAGGAAGAACAUCAAUUGCGAAGGCAGCUAACUGGACUAUAACUGACGCUGAGGAGCGAAAGCGUGGGUAGCAAACAGGAUUAGAUACCCCAGUAGUC
This 465-nucleotide ribosomal RNA is filed under the name uncultured bacterium. RNAcentral describes it as "partial 16S ribosomal RNA". It matches the Rfam family "Bacterial small subunit ribosomal RNA", at positions 338 to 795 of the family's 1533-position model. The record is from RNAcentral.